This is a long non-coding RNA of Drosophila takahashii, 539 nucleotides long. RefSeq lists it as uncharacterized. The record is from RefSeq and is a predicted model, not a curated record. NCBI's taxonomy places the organism in Eukaryota, Metazoa, Arthropoda, Insecta, Diptera, Drosophilidae.
AAUAAAUGUACAUUAUAAAGAAAACUUUCGUUCAGUAAACAUAUUUGUCUUCUAAAUUUAGUCGAAGUAAAUUUUCUUGUGGGAAAUGUGAAUAUUAAAUUGUUGUGUUAAUCCUAAUUUCAAUGAUGGCUAAAAUAAUCUUAAAUAAUUUCAUAUAUGGCUUGCUUGCACUCCGCGGACUUAAAGACACAAAAACCACCAAAAGGACAAUUUACAUUGUUUUUGAACAUUUUUUGUACUCAGUCUCAUCACAAAUAUUAAAAUAACACUGAACUAUUUUAGUACUCAAGAACCAGGUUUAGCCAUGCGUUGGAAUUAGGAUAUCGCCAAAUUGUUUCUUAUCUGGCAUAGAUACAUAACUACUUGGCGGCUAUGGAUACAUAAAUAUUAUGAGUAACCCGGUCGCUCGUACCUCGAGGAAGUUCAACGAUUACAUCACAACGUGAAUAAAAUUGUAAUAGUACACUACAGCUAAAUGUCAACAUGUUCCCAGUUAUUUAAUACUAAUUAAAAAUAAUUAAAAAUGUGUUCAAAAUGUA